GACGAACGCUGGCGGCGUGCCUAAUACAUGCAAGUAGAACGCACAGUUUAUACCGUAGCUUGCUACACCAUAGACUGUGAGUUGCGAACGGGUGAGUAACGCGUAGGUAACCUGCCUGGUAGCGGGGGAUAACUAUUGGAAACGAUAGCUAAUACCGCAUAAUAUUAAUUAUUGCAUGAUAAUUAAUUGAAAGGUGCAAUUGCACCACUACCAGAUGGACCUGCGUUGUAUUAGCUAGUAGGUGAGGUAACGGCUCACCUAGGCGACGAUACAUAGCCGACUUGAGAGGGUGAUCGGCCACACUGGGACUGAGACACGGCCCAGACUCCUACGGGAGGCAGCAGUAGGGAAUCUUCGGCAAUGGACGAAAGUCUGACCGAGCAACGCCGCGUGAGUGAAGAAGGUUUUCGGAUCGUAAAGCUCUGUUGUAAGAGAAGAACGGGUGUGAGAGUGGAAAGUUCACACUGUGACGGUAUCUUACCAGAAAGGGACGGCUAACUACGUG
Molecule: ribosomal RNA, 505 nt
Filed under: uncultured bacterium
Lineage: Bacteria
Description: partial 16S ribosomal RNA
Rfam family: Bacterial small subunit ribosomal RNA
Source: RNAcentral